AUGAGUCACGCCUUUUAUGUUAAUGAGCGCCAUAUAUGGGCAAAGGUCAGCUGGGACCCCCAAAAUCCCCAAAAUUCACCCCAAAUCCACCCAAAAUCCCCCAAAUUUAUCCCAAAAUCCCCCAAAUUUAUCCCAAAAUCUCCCAAAUUUACCCAAAUUCACCAAAUUUCCCCAAAAUUCUCCAAAUUUACCCAAAAUUCCCCAAAUUUACCCCAAAAUCUUCCAAAUUCAACCCAAAAUUCACCUGGGACACCCCAAAAUCCCCAAAAUUCACCCCAAAUCCACCCAAAAUCUCCCAAAUUUAUCCCAAAAUCUCCCAAAUUCACCCAAAAAUCCCUCAAAUUCCCACCAAAAUUCACCAAAUUUGCCCAAAAUUCCCCAAAUUCACCCCCAAAUCCUCCUAAAUUCACAAAAAAAACCCCCAAAUUAACCCCAAAAUCCACCUGGAACCCCAAAAUUCAACAAAUUCGCCCCAAAAUCCACCUGGAACCUCAAAAUUUCAAAAAUUCACCCCAAAAUUCCACAAAUUCACCCCAAAAUUUCCAAAUUCAACCUAAAAUCCUUCAAAUUUACCCAAAAUUCCCUAAACUCCAACCAAAAUUCCACAAAUUCACCCCAAAAUCCCCCAAAUUCACCCCAAAAUCCACCUGGGAUCCCCAAAACCCCCAAAUUUACCCCAAAAUUGCCGAAAUUCACCCCGAAAUCCCUCAAAUCACCCCAAAAUCCCCCAAAUUCACCCCAAAAUCCACCUGGAACCCCAAAAUUCCACAAAUUCACCCCAAAUCCCCCAAAUUCCCACCAAAAUUCACCAAAUUUCCCCAAAAUUCCACAAAUUUACCACAAAUUCCCCCCAAAAUCUUCCAAAUUCAACCCAAAAUUCACCUGGGACACCCCAAAUCCCCCAAAAUUACCCCAAAUUUAUCCCAAAUUCACCAAAUUUACCCAAAAUUCUCCAAAUUUACCCCAAAUUCCCACCAAUAUUCACCAAAUUUACUCAAAGUUCUCCAAAUUUACCCCAAAUUCCCACCAAAAUUCACCAAAUUCACCCCAAAAUCCCCCAAAUUCCCCCCAAAAUCUUCCAAAUUUAACCCAAAAUCCACCUGGAACCCCAAAAUUUCACAAAUUUACGCCAAAUUUCCACAAAUUCAUCCCAAAAUCCCCAAAUUCAUCCCAAAAUUCCACAAAUUCACCCCAAAAUCCCCAAAAUUCACCCCAAAAUCCACUUGGGAUCCCUCAAAAUCCCCCAAAUUUACCCCAAAAUCGCCAAAAUUUACCCCAAAUCCCCCAAAUUUCUACAAAUUCACCCUAAAAUUCCACUUGGGACCCCCAAAAUUGCCUAAAUUUACCCCAAAAUCUCCCAAAUAUACCCAAAAUCCCCCAAAUCCCCCCCAAAAUUCCACAAAUUCACCCCAAAAUUCCAUCUGGGACCCCAAAAUUCCACAAAUUUACCCCAAAUCCCCCAAAUUCACCCCAAAAUCGCCAAAAUUUACCCCAAAUCCCCCAAAUUUCCACAAAUUCCCCAAAUUUCUAAAAAUUCACCCCAAAAUUCCAUCUGGGACCCCCAAAAUCCCACAUGGGACCCCAAAAUUGCCUAAAUUUACCCCAAAAUCUGCCAAAUAUACCCCAAAUCCCCCCAAUCCC
Molecule: long non-coding RNA, 1641 nt
Organism: Taeniopygia guttata (zebra finch)
Lineage: Eukaryota; Metazoa; Chordata; Aves; Passeriformes; Estrildidae
Source: Ensembl